Molecule: ribosomal RNA, 164 nt
Filed under: Moeroris rangoloakensis
Lineage: Eukaryota; Viridiplantae; Streptophyta; Magnoliopsida; Malpighiales; Phyllanthaceae
Description: Phyllanthus rangoloakensis 5.8S ribosomal RNA
Rfam family: 5.8S ribosomal RNA
About the family: 5.8S ribosomal RNA (5.8S rRNA) is a component of the large subunit of the eukaryotic ribosome. It is transcribed by RNA polymerase I as part of the 45S precursor that also contains 18S and 28S rRNA.
Source: RNAcentral
AAAACGACUCUCGGCAACGGAUAUCUCGGCUCUCGCAUCGAUGAAGAACGCAGCGAAAUGCGAUACUUGGUGUGAAUUGCAGAAUCCCGUGAACCAUCGAGUCUUUGAACGCAAGUUGCGCCCAAAGCCUUCGGGUUGAGGGCACGUCUGCCUGGGUGUCACGC